GGAAUCUUCCACAAUGGACGCAAGUCUGAUGGAGCAACGCCGCGUGAGUGAAGAAGGGUUUCGGCUCGUAAAGCUCUGUUGUUAAAGAAGAACAUAUCUGAGAGUAACUGUUCAGGUAUUGACGGUAUUUAACCAGAAAGCCACGGCUAACUACGUGCCAG
This 161-nucleotide ribosomal RNA is filed under the name uncultured bacterium. Its description in RNAcentral is "partial 16S ribosomal RNA". It matches the Rfam family "Bacterial small subunit ribosomal RNA", at positions 358 to 511 of the family's 1533-position model. The record is from RNAcentral.